AAGGUGGGGACGACGUCAAGUCAUCAUGCCCCUUACGGCCUGGGCUACACACGUGCUACAAUGGUCGGUACAAAGGGUUGCCAAGCCGCGAGGUGGAGCUAAUCCCAUAAAACCGAUCGUAGUCCGGAUCGCAGUCUGCAACUCGACUGCGUGAAGUCGGAAUCGCUAGUAAUCGUGAAUCAGAAUGUCACGGUGAAUACGGUUCCCGGGCCUU
Molecule: ribosomal RNA, 214 nt
Filed under: uncultured Pseudomonas sp.
Lineage: Bacteria; Pseudomonadati; Pseudomonadota; Gammaproteobacteria; Pseudomonadales; Pseudomonadaceae
Description: partial 16S ribosomal RNA
Rfam family: Bacterial small subunit ribosomal RNA
Source: RNAcentral